AACGAACGCUGGCGGCAGGCCUAACACAUGCAAGUCGAGCGCACCUUCGGGUGAGCGGCGGACGGGUUAGUAACGCGUGGGAAUAUGCCCUUCACUACGGAAUAGCCUCGGGAAACUGAGAGUAAUACCGUAUACGCCCUUCGGGGGAAAGAUUUAUCGGUGAAGGAUUAGCCCGCGUCUGAUUAGAUAGUUGGUGGGGUAACGGCCUACCAAGUCUACGAUCAGUAGCUGGUUUGAGAGGAUGAUCAGCAACACUGGGACUGGGACACGGCCCAGACUCCUACGGGAGGCAGCAGUGGGGAAUCUUAGACAAUGGGCGCAAGCCUGAUCUAGCCAUGCCGCGUGAGUGACGAAGGCCUUAGGGUCGUAAAGCUCUCUCGCCAGAGAUGAUAAUGACAGUAUCUGGUAAAGAAACCCCGGCUAACUCCGUGCCAGCAGCCGCGGUAAUACGGAGGGGGUUAGCGUUGUUCGGAAUUACUGGGCGUAAAGCGUACGUAGGCGGAUUGGAAAGUUGGGGGUGAAAUCCCGGGGCUCAACCCCGGAACUGCCUCCAAAACUAUCAGUCUAGAGUUCGAGAGAGGUGAGUGGAAUUCCAAGUGUAGAGGUGAAAUUCGUAGAUAUUUGGAGGAACACCAGUGGCGAAGGCGGCUCACUGGCUCGAUACUGACGCUGAGGUACGAAAGUGUGGGGAGCAAACAGGAUUAGAUACCCUGGUAGUCCACACCGUAAACGAUGAAUGCCAGACGUCGGGGGGCUUGCCCUUCGGUGUCACACCUAACGGAUUAAGCAUUCCGCCUGGNGAGUACGGUCGCAAGAUUA
This 819-nucleotide ribosomal RNA is filed under the name uncultured bacterium. Its description in RNAcentral is "bacterial SSU rRNA". It matches the Rfam family "Bacterial small subunit ribosomal RNA", at positions 28 to 896 of the family's 1533-position model. The record is from RNAcentral.